RNAcentral lists this ribosomal RNA (332 nucleotides) under uncultured bacterium. RNAcentral's name for it is "bacterial SSU rRNA". It matches the Rfam family "Bacterial small subunit ribosomal RNA", at positions 568 to 898 of the family's 1533-position model. The record is from RNAcentral.
UGUGUAGGCGGACCGUUAAGUGCUUUGUGAAAUCCCACGGCUCACCCGUGGAACUGCUUGGCAUACUGGCGGUCUUGAGCCAUCUAGGGGCGACUGGAACAAACGGUGGAGCGGUGAAAUGCGUAGAUAUCGUUUGGAACGCCAACGGUGAAAACAGGUCGCUGGGGAUGUGCUGACGCUGAGACACGAAAGCCAGGGGAGCAAACGGGAUUAGAUACCCCGGUAGUCCUGGCCCUAAACGAUGUCCACUAGAUCGUGGUGCCUUUGACGGCUUCACGGUCGAAGCAAAAGUGCUAAGUGGACCGCCUGGGAAGUACGGUCGCAAGGCUAAA